GCUUAACACAUGCAAGUCGAGGGGAAACGAUAUUGGAAGCUUGCUUCCGAUAGGCGUCGACCGGCGCACGGGUGAGUAACGCGUAUCCAACCUGCCCAUCACUUGGGGAUAACCUUGCGAAAGUAAGACUAAUACCCAAUGACGUCUCUAGAAGACAUCUGAAAGAGAUUAAAGAUUUAUCGGUGAUGGAUGGGGAUGCGUCUGAUUAGCUAGUUGGUGAGGUAACGGCCCACCAAGGCGACGAUCGGUAGCCGGACUGAGAGGUUGAACGGCCACAUUGGGACUGAGACACGGCCCAGACUCCUACGGGAGGCAGCAGUGGGGAAUAUUGCACAAUGGGGGAAACCCUGAUGCAGCGACGCCGCGUGGAGGAAGAAGGUCUUCGGAUUGUAAACUCCUGUUGUUGGGGAAGAUAAUGACGGUACCCAACAAGGAAGUGACGGCUAACUACGUGCCAGCAGCCGCGGUAAAACGUAGGUCACAAGCGUUGUCCGGAAUUACUGGGUGUAAAGGGAGCGCAGGCGGGAAGACAAGUUGGAAGUGAAAUCUAUGGGCUCAACCCAUAAACUGCUUUCAAAACUGUUUUUCUUGAGUAGUGCAGAGGUAGGCGGAAUUCCCGGUGUAGCGGUGGAAUGCGUAGAUAUCGGGAGGAACACCAGUGGCGAAGGCGGCCUACUGGGCACCAACUGACGCUGAGGCUCGAAAGUGUGGGUAGCAAACAGGAUUAGAUACCCUGGUAGUCCACACCGUAAACGAUGAUUACUAGGUGUUGGAGGAUUGACCCCUUCAGUGCCGCAGUUAACACAAUAAGUAAUCCACCUGGGGAGUACGACCGCAAGGUU
RNAcentral lists this ribosomal RNA (842 nucleotides) under uncultured bacterium. RNAcentral describes it as "bacterial SSU rRNA". It matches the Rfam family "Bacterial small subunit ribosomal RNA", at positions 46 to 895 of the family's 1533-position model. The record is from RNAcentral.